GGCGAUUUAACUCAGUGGCUCAAGCACUUGCCUGGUAAGCAUGAGGUCAUGAGUUCAAUCCCCAUCAUCCCUA
This is a transfer RNA of Cavia porcellus (domestic guinea pig), 73 nucleotides long. It matches the Rfam family "tRNA". From Rfam's summary of the family: Transfer RNA (tRNA) molecules are approximately 80 nucleotides in length. Their secondary structure includes four short double-helical elements and three loops (D, anti-codon, and T loops). NCBI's taxonomy places the organism in Eukaryota, Metazoa, Chordata, Mammalia, Rodentia, Caviidae. The record is from Rfam.